CCAUGUGGGUGUGGGAGGUCUGCGGCAACGCCUUCCGCUAUAGUGCUGGCGAGAACAUAUAAUCCUCCUAAAGAAUACAAGUUCCCCCCAUCAUCAUAUCUGAUUCGGACUCCAUCGCUGCUACCUCAUCAAUCUCUCUCCCAGGUGGAGGCGCGUAUUAGGCAUUUAGCCAUGGGUUGCCCAUAGCUUGGACAAAUCAGUGGCUGGAUAUCUAUGUUGCCUAUAUACAUGUGCUUACUUUAAAAGACACACAUCAUCAGCACAAGGUCACUCUGUUUUUUACUUUUUCUUUAACCAGAAAUAUGGACUUAACACACAUAUAUUUUCAUUCUCAUGUAAUGGGAUAUAUCUUGGAAGGAAAAAAAAUCAUGUUGUAUCAUGUUAUAUC
Long non-coding RNA from Triticum aestivum (bread wheat), 388 nucleotides. RefSeq lists it as uncharacterized. NCBI's taxonomy places the organism in Eukaryota, Viridiplantae, Streptophyta, Magnoliopsida, Poales, Poaceae. The transcript is spliced from 2 exons. The record is from RefSeq and is a predicted model, not a curated record.